This 419-nucleotide ribosomal RNA is filed under the name uncultured bacterium. Its description in RNAcentral is "bacterial SSU rRNA". It matches the Rfam family "Bacterial small subunit ribosomal RNA", at positions 362 to 774 of the family's 1533-position model. The record is from RNAcentral.
UCUUGGACAAUGGGGGCAACCCUGAUCCAGCGAUGCCGCGUGAGUGAAGAAGGCCCUCGGGUCGUAAAGCUCUUUAGGCUGGGAAGAAGGAUGGUUGAGGAAAUGCGAUCAUUUUGACGGUACCAGCAGAAUAAGCACCGGCAAACUCUGUGCCAGCAGCCGCGGUAAUACAGAGGGUGCGAGCGUUAAUCGGAGUUACUGGGCGUAAAGGGCGCGUAGGCGGUUUAGUGAGUGUGAUGUGAAAGCCCCGGGCUUAACCUGGGAAGUGCAUCGCAAACGACAAGACUAGAGUAGAUGAGAGGGUGAUGGAAUUUCCGGUGUAGCGGUGAAAUGCGUAGAGAUCGGAAGGAACGUCGAUGGCGAAGGCAGUCACCUGGCAUCAUACUGACGCUGAGGCGCGAAAGCGUGGGGAGCAAACA